CCGAGACGAAUUACAGGCGCUACGAACCGGAGCAAGGACUAAUCUCGCCUCAUAAUGAGGCGGUGACCUCGUAUUUGCUCCGGGAAAAAGUCCAGAUUUCGAUUUAGAUAAAGACAUCAUUGUGUCCGCCGAAUUCAGUCGAGCGAGAAGAAAGAGG
Long non-coding RNA from Gasterosteus aculeatus aculeatus (three-spined stickleback), 157 nucleotides. RefSeq lists it as uncharacterized. NCBI's taxonomy places the organism in Eukaryota, Metazoa, Chordata, Actinopteri, Perciformes, Gasterosteidae. The record is from RefSeq and is a predicted model, not a curated record.